AAGUCGUAACAAGGUUUCCGUAGGUGAACCUGCGGAAGGAUCAUUAAUGAAGUCUGGGUUCAACCUCUCUACUUCUAGCACACUUGUAGAACUUACACUGUUGCUUUGGCAGGUCUCCAGAAGGGUCGAAACCCUGGACGGUCAGGUCGAAAGGCGCCUGCCAAAGACAUUUAUCCACCCUUUUUUUAUUGUCUGAUUUUUGGUUUUAAACAAAUUAUAAAAAAG
RNAcentral lists this unclassified non-coding RNA (225 nucleotides) under plant metagenome. RNAcentral's name for it is "partial contains small subunit ribosomal RNA and internal transcribed spacer 1". The stretch from base 1 to 46 matches the Rfam family "Eukaryotic small subunit ribosomal RNA", at positions 1786 to 1831 of the family's 1831-position model. The record is from RNAcentral.